Long non-coding RNA from Nothoprocta perdicaria, 295 nucleotides. RefSeq lists it as uncharacterized. Lineage: Eukaryota; Metazoa; Chordata; Aves; Tinamiformes; Tinamidae. The transcript has 2 exons. The record is from RefSeq and is a predicted model, not a curated record.
GACAGAUCAAGGCUGAUCCUCUGGAUGUCUAUUGCCUAGAAAGCACACCUACCUGUUUGCUAUAUAUCCCAGCCUCAUGCUGAAAAAUGUGAAGCUGAUGGAUAUUGAAAAAACUGUAGGCUUUGCAAAAGGACUGCACUGGCCUCUGUGGGUGCCCCAGCCUUCUGAGGAUGUGGCUCAUGUGGAUCCAGGCUGCAGGAUCAGCAGCAUAUGGAUCAUCUCUGCCCAGGGAAAGGCAGARGCUUCUAGGGAGUGAAUUUGGAGCUGUUGUUCCUAAAGUUCACACUCGUAGCAC